GGGGGAUAACGUUCGGAACGGACGCUAAUACCGCAUACGUCCUACGGGAGAAAGCAGGAGACCUUCGGGCCUUGCGCUAUCAGAUGAGUCUAGGUCGGAUCAGCUAGUUGGUGAGGUAAUGGCUCACCAAGGCUACGAUCCGUAACUGGUCUGAGAGGAUGAUCAGUCACACUGGAACUGAGACACGGUCCAG
Molecule: ribosomal RNA, 193 nt
Filed under: uncultured Pseudomonadales bacterium
Lineage: Bacteria; Pseudomonadati; Pseudomonadota; Gammaproteobacteria; Pseudomonadales
Description: partial 16S ribosomal RNA
Rfam family: Bacterial small subunit ribosomal RNA
Source: RNAcentral